RNAcentral lists this ribosomal RNA (1069 nucleotides) under Salmonella enterica. RNAcentral's name for it is "partial 23S ribosomal RNA". It matches the Rfam family "Bacterial large subunit ribosomal RNA", at positions 691 to 1757 of the family's 2925-position model. The record is from RNAcentral. Lineage: Bacteria; Pseudomonadati; Pseudomonadota; Gammaproteobacteria; Enterobacterales; Enterobacteriaceae. RNAcentral also lists the same sequence under 2 other names.
GGCGUUAAGUUGCAGGGUAUAGACCCGAAACCCGGUGAUCUAGCCAUGGGCAGGUUGAAGGUUGGGUAACACUAACUGGAGGACCGAACCGACUAAUGUUGAAAAAUUAGCGGAUGACCUGUGGCUGGGGGUGAAAGGCCAAUCAAACCGGGAGAUAGCUGGUUCUCCCCGAAAGCUAUUUAGGUAGCGCCUCGUGAAUUCAUCUCCGGGGGUAGAGCACUGUUUCGGCUAGGGGGCCAUCCCGGCUUACCAACCCGAUGCAAACUGCGAAUACCGGAGAAUGUUAUCACGGGAGACACACGGCGGGUGCUAACGUCCGUCGUGAAGAGGGAAACAACCCAGACCGCCAGCUAAGGUCCCAAAGUCAUGGUUAAGUGGGAAACGAUGUGGGAAGGCCCAGACAGCCAGGAUGUUGGCUUAGAAGCAGCCAUCAUUUAAAGAAAGCGUAAUAGCUCACUGGUCGAGUCGGCCUGCGCGGAAGAUGUAACGGGGCUAAACCAUGCACCGAAGCUGCGGCAGCGACGCUUAUGCGUUGUUGGGUAGGGGAGCGUUCUGUAAGCCUGUGAAGGUGGCCUGUGAGGGUUGCUGGAGGUAUCAGAAGUGCGAAUGCUGACAUAAGUAACGAUAAAGCGGGUGAAAAGCCCGCUCGCCGGAAGACCAAGGGUUCCUGUCCAACGUUAAUCGGGGCAGGGUGAGUCGACCCCUAAGGCGAGGCCGAAAGGCGUAGUCGAUGGGAAACGGGUUAAUAUUCCCGUACUUGGUGUUACUGCGAAGGGGGGACGGAGAAGGCUAUGUUGGCCGGGCGACGGUUGUCCCGGUUUAAGCGUGUAGGUGUGUGUUCCAGGUAAAUCCGGUUCACUUUAACACUGAGGCGUGAUGACGAGGCACUACGGUGCUGAAGUAACAAAUGCCCUGCUUCCAGGAAAAGCCUCUAAGCAUCAGGUAACAUCAAAUCGUACCCCAAACCGACACAGGUGGUCAGGUAGAGAAUACCAAGGCGCUUGAGAGAACUCGGGUGAAGGAACUAGGCAAAAUGGUGCCGUAACUUCGGGAGAAGGCACGCUGACAC